GACGAACGCUGGCGGCGUGCCUAAUACAUGCAAGUUGAGCGAUGAAGAUUGGUGCUUGCACCCAUUUGAAGAGCAGCGAACGGGUGAGUAACGCGUGGGGAAUCUGCCUUUGAGCGGGGGACAACAUUUGGAAACGAAUGCUAAUACCGCAUAACAACUUUAAACAUAAGUUUUAAGUUUGAAAGAUGCAAUUGCAUCACUCAAAGAUGAUCCCGCGAUGUAUUAGCUAGUUGGUGAGGUAAAGGCUCACCAAGGCGAUGAUACAUAGCCGACCUGAGAGGGUGAUCGGCCACAUUGGGACUGGGACACGGCCCAAACUCCUACGGGAGGCAGCAGUAGGGAAUCUUCGGCAAUGGACGAAAGUCUGACCGAGCAACGCCGCGUGAGUGAAGAAGGUUUUCGGAUCGUAAAACUCUGUUGGUAGAGAAGAACGUUGGUGAGAGUGGAAAGCUCAUCAAGUGACGGUAACUACCCAGAAAGGGACGGCUAACUACGUG
Molecule: ribosomal RNA, 497 nt
Filed under: uncultured bacterium
Lineage: Bacteria
Description: partial 16S ribosomal RNA
Rfam family: Bacterial small subunit ribosomal RNA
Source: RNAcentral